GGGGGUGCACCGGUUUCGACUGAUGCGAUUCGGGAUACAGGCUGCAGGUGGAGUGCCGAUCUCCUGAUUCGGCAAAAAUUUAACUGCCGACAACGACAGUUACGCUUUCGCUGCGUAAGCAGUAGAGCGCGGGACCCGGCUCCGCUGCCUUGAGGAGCCGGCUUCCCGACGCAAUCAAGGCUGGUCAAGCAUCGGGUCCGGACGGUGUGCGGCGAGAAAUUCCCAGAAUACGGAUGAGCCGCGUGCCGCUUAGCCAAGCCCAUCCCGACAAUUCAAUAAGCGGCUAAACUUGUAGACGCCUGUGUUUCGCGUACCAGGACGCGGGUUCGACUCCCGCCACCUCCAC
This 346-nucleotide transfer-messenger RNA is filed under the name Spirochaetia bacterium. It matches the Rfam family "transfer-messenger RNA". From Rfam's summary of the family: Bacterial tmRNA, also known as 10Sa RNA or SsrA, is named for its dual tRNA and mRNA-like properties. Its role is to liberate the mRNA from a stalled ribosome. To accomplish this part of the tmRNA is used as a reading frame that ends in a translation stop signal. Lineage: Bacteria; Pseudomonadati; Spirochaetota; Spirochaetia. The record is from RNAcentral.